GUAGGGGGCUAGCGUUGUCCGGAUUUAUUGGGCGUAAAGCGCGUGUAGGCGGCCAGGUAGGUCCGUUGUGAAAACCCGAGGCUUAACCUCGGGACGCCGACGGAAACCAUCUGGCUAGGGUCCGGAAGAGGAGAGUGGAAUUCCCGGUGUAGCGGUGAAAUGCGCAGAUAUCGGGAAGAACACCCGUGGCGAAGGCGGCUCUCUGGGACGGUACCGACGCUGAGACGCGAAAGCGUGGGGAGCGAACAGGAUUAGAUACCCUGGUAGUCCACGCCGUAAACGAUGGGUGCUAGGUGUGGGAGGUGUCGACUCCUUCCGUGCCGAAGCUAACGCAUUAAGCACCCCGCCUGGGGAGUACGGCCGCAAGGCUA
This 371-nucleotide ribosomal RNA is filed under the name uncultured bacterium. RNAcentral's name for it is "bacterial SSU rRNA". It matches the Rfam family "Bacterial small subunit ribosomal RNA", at positions 527 to 896 of the family's 1533-position model. The record is from RNAcentral.